Molecule: ribosomal RNA, 1371 nt
Filed under: uncultured bacterium
Lineage: Bacteria
Description: bacterial SSU rRNA
Rfam family: Bacterial small subunit ribosomal RNA
Source: RNAcentral
GAUGAACGCUGGCGGCGUGCCUAAUACAUGCAAGUCGAGCGAACGGACGAGAAGCUUGCUUCUCUGAUGUUAGCGGCGGACGGGUGAGUAACACGUGGAUAACCUACCUAUAAGACUGGGAUAACUUCGGGAAACCGGAGCUAAUACCGGAUAAUAUUUUGAACCGCAUGGUUCAAAAGUGAAAGACGGUCUUGCUGUCACUUAUAGAUGGAUCCGCGCUGCAUUAGCUAGUUGGUAAGGUAACGGCUUACCAAGGCAACGAUGCAUAGCCGACCUGAGAGGGUGAUCGGCCACACUGGAACUGAGACACGGUCCAGACUCCUACGGGAGGCAGCAGUAGGGAAUCUUCCGCAAUGGGCGAAAGCCUGACGGAGCAACGCCGCGUGAGUGAUGAAGGUCUUCGGAUCGUAAAACUCUGUUAUUAGGGAAGAACAUAUGUGUAAGUAACUGUGCACAUCUUGACGGUACCUAAUCAGAAAGCCACGGCUAACUACGUGCCAGCAGCCGCGGUAAUACGUAGGUGGCAAGCGUUAUCCGGAAUUAUUGGGCGUAAAGCGCGCGUAGGCGGUUUUUUAGUCUGAUGUGAAAGCCCACGGCUCAACCGUGGAGGGUCAUUGGAAACUGGAAAACUUGAGUGCAGAAGAGGAAAGUGGAAUUCCAUGUGUAGCGGUGAAAUGCGCAGAGAUAUGGAGGAACACCAGUGGCGAAGGCGACUUUCUGGUCUGUAACUGACGCUGAUGUGCGAAAGCGUGGGGAUCAAACAGGAUUAGAUACCCUGGUAGUCCACGCCGUAAACGAUGAGUGCUAAGUGUUAGGGGGUUUCCGCCCCUUAGUGCUGCAGCUAACGCAUUAAGCACUCCGCCUGGGGAGUACGACCGCAAGGUUGAAACUCAAAGGAAUUGACGGGGACCCGCACAAGCGGUGGAGCAUGUGGUUUAAUUCGAAGCAACGCGAAGAACCUUACCAAAUCUUGACAUCCUUUGACAACUCUAGAGAUAGAGCCUUCCCCUUCGGGGGACAAAGUGACAGGUGGUGCAUGGUUGUCGUCAGCUCGUGUCGUGAGAUGUUGGGUCAAGUCCCGCAACGAGCGCAACCCUUAAGCUUAGUUGCCAUCAUUAAGUUGGGCACUCUAAGUUGACUGCCGGUGACAAACCGGAGGAAGGUGGGGAUGACGUCAAAUCAUCAUGCCCCUUAUGAUUUGGGCUACACACGUGCUACAAUGGACAAUACAAAGGGCAGCGAAACCGCGAGGUCAAGCAAAUCCCAUAAAGUUGUUCUCAGUUCGGAUUGUAGUCUGCAACUCGACUACAUGAAGCUGGAAUCGCUAGUAAUCGUAGAUCAGCAUGCUACGGUGAAUACGUUCCCGGGUCU